AGUUAUUCGGAAUCCUCUGAUUUUAUCACUGUAGCGCCUUUAAAUUAUUUUGUCCCCAACUUUCUUUCCGGAAUUUGAUUUCAUAUAGUUUAAAUGUUAUCUUUCAAAAUCUUAUACAAUCCUUGUUGUUAAUUUUUCAUUUUUUUUAAGGCUGAUGUCACGAAAACAAGCGCAUUGACCUCCCCCCAAAAAUCCCCCCCCCGGCCCC
Molecule: long non-coding RNA, 208 nt
Filed under: Mytilus galloprovincialis (Mediterranean mussel)
Lineage: Eukaryota; Metazoa; Mollusca; Bivalvia; Mytilida; Mytilidae
Source: RNAcentral